RNAcentral lists this RNase P RNA (340 nucleotides) under Fidelibacterota bacterium. RNAcentral describes it as "RNase P RNA component class A". It matches the Rfam family "Bacterial RNase P class A". From Rfam's summary of the family: Ribonuclease P (RNase P) is a ubiquitous endoribonuclease, found in archaea, bacteria and eukarya as well as chloroplasts and mitochondria. Its best characterised activity is the generation of mature 5'-ends of tRNAs by cleaving the 5'-leader elements of precursor-tRNAs. Lineage: Bacteria; Pseudomonadati; Fidelibacterota. The record is from RNAcentral.
UGGGUUGACUGGUUGAUUGCUUUUAAUUAAGAGGAAAGUCCGAACUCCGCAGGAAAAAGUGCCUCCUAACAGGAGGAUUUCGUAAGAAAAUGGAAAGUGCCACAGAAAAAAUACCGCCAUUUAUUUUUGGUAAGGGUGAAAAAGUAGUGUAAGAGACUACUAAUGUUUUUUGUAAAUGAAACAUUCGGUAAACCCCACUUGGAGCAAGAUUAAGUAGCCUUGUGUUUUCCGCACAUAAAGGCGGGUAAAUCGCAUUAGUGUAUUAGUAAUAAUAUAUAAAGAUGAAUAGUCAACAAUACUUUAAGUAUUACAGAAUUCGGCUUAUAGGUCAACCCAAAAU